This 35-nucleotide transfer RNA is filed under the name Spinus spinus (Eurasian siskin). RNAcentral describes it as "partial tRNA-Phe". The record is from RNAcentral. Lineage: Eukaryota; Metazoa; Chordata; Aves; Passeriformes; Fringillidae.
GAUGUCAAGAUGGCUGCCACAAACACCCAAGAACA